GAUGAACGCUGGCGGCGUGCCUAAUACAUGCAAGUCGAGCGAACAGAUGAGGAGCUUGCUCCUCUGACGUUAGCGGCGGACGGGUGAGUAACACGUGGAUAACCUACCUAUAAGACUGGGAUAACUUCGGGAAACCGGAGCUAAUACCGGAUAAUAUAUUGAACCGCAUGGUUCAAUAGUGAAAGACGGUUUUGCUGUCACUUAUAGAUGGAUCCGCGCCGCAUUAGCUAGUUGGUAAGGUAACGGCUUACCAAGGCAACGAUGCGUAGCCGACCUGAGAGGGUGAUCGGCCACACUGGAACUGAGACACGGUCCAGACUCCUACGGGAGGCAGCAGUAGGGAAUCUUCCGCAAUGGGCGAAAGCUUGACGGGGCAACGCCGCGUGAGUGAUGAAGGUCUUCGGAUCGUAAAACUCUGUUAUUAGGGAAGAACAAAUGUGUAAGUAACUAUGCACGUCUUGACGGUACCUAAUCAGAAAGCCACGGCUAACUACGUG
This 497-nucleotide ribosomal RNA is filed under the name uncultured bacterium. Its description in RNAcentral is "partial 16S ribosomal RNA". It matches the Rfam family "Bacterial small subunit ribosomal RNA", at positions 28 to 507 of the family's 1533-position model. The record is from RNAcentral.